This 460-nucleotide ribosomal RNA is filed under the name uncultured bacterium. RNAcentral describes it as "partial 16S ribosomal RNA". It matches the Rfam family "Bacterial small subunit ribosomal RNA", at positions 338 to 795 of the family's 1533-position model. The record is from RNAcentral.
CCUACGGGUGGCAGCAGUGAGGAAUAUUGGUCAAUGGACGAGAGUCUGAACCAGCCAAGUAGCGUGAAGGAUGACUGCCCUAUGGGUUGUAAACUUCUUUUAUAUGGGAAUAAAACGUUCCACGUGUGGGAUUUUGUAUGUACCAUAUGAAUAAGGAUCGGCUAACUACGUGCCAGCAGCCGCGGUAAUACGGAGGGUCCGAGCGUUAUCCGGAUUUAUUGGGUUUAAAGGGAGCGUAGGUGGAUUGUUAAGUCAGUUGUGAAAGUUUGCGGCUAAACCGUAAAAUUGCAGUUGAAACUGGCAGUCUUGAGUACAGUAGAGGUGGGCGGAAUUCGUGGUGUAGCGGUGAAAUGCUUAGAUAUCACGAAGAACUCCGAUUGCGAAGGCAGUUCACUGGACUGCAACUGACACUGAGGCUCGAAAGUGUGGGUAUCAAACAGGAUUAGAUACCCUGGUAGUC